This 287-nucleotide long non-coding RNA is filed under the name Bos taurus (domestic cattle). Its description in RNAcentral is "long non-coding RNA NONBTAT025725". The record is from RNAcentral. Lineage: Eukaryota; Metazoa; Chordata; Mammalia; Artiodactyla; Bovidae.
CCUUCAGCACUUUCUGGAUGAAGGUUGUGGCAAAAAUCUCAAGUCCAACCUGGUGGCUACAGUCAUGACCACAGUGGGAUAGAAUAUGCCUUAAAGGACACAGGAUAUAAUCCUACCAUGAAGAAAAAAAUAUAGAAACAGGUGCUGGAAGUAUCAUAAUUAUUCUUUCCUUCUGACUUGCCUCACGUAAAUGUUCAUGAUACAGCCAUGGAUACAGCCAUGUAUGGUUGCAAUGUGUUGAUCAAAACAAGUUCUUAUUGCUUUAUAAUAUACCCAACCGCACAGGA